RNAcentral lists this non-coding RNA (188 nucleotides) under Gallionella sp. Its description in RNAcentral is "6S RNA". It matches the Rfam family "6S / SsrS RNA". Rfam says of the family: E. coli 6S RNA was the first non coding RNA to be sequenced, but its function was unknown until recently. Lineage: Bacteria; Pseudomonadati; Pseudomonadota; Betaproteobacteria; Nitrosomonadales; Gallionellaceae. The record is from RNAcentral.
UGUCCCCUGCGGUGUUCGUCAGGCCUAUAUAUUCUUUGAACCAAUAAGCUUUGCUUAAGGCCGUGACCUUUGAUGUUGCUGUUGUGCGCGUUCCCAGUUUAUCUGGCGGAUGUACCUGAUGCGACUUGGAAACGGCCCUCUUGAACCCAGGUUCAAGAUGCUGGGCCAACGGCACAGGCGGGGGGCUC